CCACUCGCACUCAGGCCCCACCUACUCCUUCCAAAGUCUCCUUGUUCCUGAAGCCUGUUGUACUUCUGAAAGCCACCCCCUCUCUUCUUUGAAGAUGAAAGUCAUCUUCAGAGGAAGGCUGACAUUCUUAGCCAAUGAAAGAACAAAGAUUUUGGGUUAAGGGCAUAUGAAUCAACCUUCCAGGGUGACCAUGACUAUCCUUGAGAAAACCAACCGAUUCUAUUUCCAUCCACAAAAUAGGAUACUAGGAGGACCUACCUCAGGAGGUGGUGAGGACCAAGCAAAAUUGUGGCCACACGCGCCAAGUGCUUACUGACCGCACAGCAAAGACUCAACAGCUAAGCUGUUUUGAUUAAAUGAUGUCUGCUAAAUUCCUCCGAGCUUCCUCUUGAAGUCCCUAUCUCUUCUCCAAGAUCCACCUCCUAAAUCCUGCUCACUUUUUCCUUAAGCUCAGGCUUUAGGUAAACCCCUUUCUUUCCAAGGUCCCAUCACUCUCCCUCUCUUGCCACCUCAGCCAUUCCUCUCUGACACCAUCCCCAUCUUCUCUAAGUCAUUUCACCUGCAGUUAUAAAGACCUAUUUCCACUAAAGCGAAGCGAAAUCGCUCAGUCGUGUCCGACUCUUUGCGACCCCAUGGACUGUGGCCCACCAGGNNNNNNNNNNNNNNNNNNNNNNNNNNNNNNNNNACUGGAGUGGGUUGCUAUUUCCUUCUCCAGGGGAUCUUCCCGACCCGGGAAUCGAACCCAUGUCUCCCGCAUUGCGAGCAGACGCUUUACCGUCUUAGCAACCAGGGAAUCCCAAUUUCCACCACGGACUUUCCACUAAAGACGCCCCCAAAUUACACGCUUAAGCCCCACCCCCCUCCACUAUGCCCAUCACUUUCUGAAAGCUUCAUCCCUAGACAAACUCCACCCCUUCUAGCUCCUCCCACCUCCACAAUGAACCCUUUUCCCCACUCAGCCCCAGUAGGGACCCUUCAACCUAGGGCCCGCCUACCAGUCUCCCGGAGCCACGCCCCUUCGUAAAACCUCGCCCCUUGCCCAAGCCCCUCCCAUUUCGACCACAGUCCCGCCCACUCGCGAAGCCACG
This 1088-nucleotide long non-coding RNA is filed under the name Capra hircus (goat). Its description in RNAcentral is "lncRNA (ENSCHIG00010023065.1)". The record is from RNAcentral. Lineage: Eukaryota; Metazoa; Chordata; Mammalia; Artiodactyla; Bovidae.